This 29-nucleotide non-coding RNA is filed under the name Mus musculus (house mouse). Lineage: Eukaryota; Metazoa; Chordata; Mammalia; Rodentia; Muridae. The record is from RNAcentral.
UAAAAACUCACUCAAGCUAGGAUUGGGUA